GACGAACCGUGCGAACGUUGUUCGGAAUCACUGGGCUUAAAGGGCGCGUAGGCGGGUGACCAAGUCCGGGGUGAAAUCCUCCAGCUUAACUGGAGAAGUGCCUCGGAUACUGGUUGUCUUGAGGAGGGUAGGGGCAUCUGGAACUAGCGGUGGAGCGGUGAAAUGCGUUGAUAUCUACAGGAACUCCGGUGGCGAAAGCGGCGCGCUGGACCUCUUCUGACGCUGAGGCGCGAAAGCUAGGGGAGCAAACGGG
Molecule: ribosomal RNA, 253 nt
Filed under: uncultured bacterium
Lineage: Bacteria
Description: partial 16S ribosomal RNA
Rfam family: Bacterial small subunit ribosomal RNA
Source: RNAcentral